UCGCACAGCUGUUUCGCAUUUUAGGCGUUUCGUGUUUCGCGUUUCGCUUUCGCAGUUUAGGGACGCCCCUUUCUUCGUAGUUUUCCUUAUGUUUUUGGAAUAAAUUCAACACCAUAUCAAAUAUUGAGUACUACCUGACAGGCUAACAACGUCUCGGCUUUCGUCACCUGACUGAAACUGUUUCCUAUCUGUCUGAUCCUUCCUGCUAUGAAAUUACUAAUCAGACAUUAGAAGGAGAUACUGGAUUCAUAUUACGCACCUGCUUCAGCGAAUCGCUGUCACACUGUGUUGUUUUUCCUGAUUACUUGAAAGCAACAUUGCAUUAAAAGA
Molecule: long non-coding RNA, 330 nt
Organism: Daphnia pulicaria
Lineage: Eukaryota; Metazoa; Arthropoda; Branchiopoda; Diplostraca; Daphniidae
Exons: 3
Source: RefSeq, a predicted model, not a curated record